Molecule: non-coding RNA, 46 nt
Organism: Ricinus communis (castor bean)
Lineage: Eukaryota; Viridiplantae; Streptophyta; Magnoliopsida; Malpighiales; Euphorbiaceae
Source: Rfam
CUUGAGGCUUUUCUUAAAGCCAAAACACAUUUGAAGCAAGAAAAUC